This 253-nucleotide ribosomal RNA is filed under the name uncultured bacterium. Its description in RNAcentral is "partial 16S ribosomal RNA". It matches the Rfam family "Bacterial small subunit ribosomal RNA", at positions 524 to 776 of the family's 1533-position model. The record is from RNAcentral.
GACGAACCGUGCGAACGUUGUUCGGAAUCACUGGGCUUAAAGGGCGCGUAGGCGGGCUGGUAAGUCAGGGGUGAAAGCCCACGGCCCAACCGUGGAACUGCUUGGUAUACUGGUUGUCUUGAGGCACUCAGGGGCGAGCGGAACAGAUGGUGGAGCGGUGAAAUGCGUAGAUAUCAUCUGGAACGCCAAUGGUGAAGACAGCUCGCUGGGGGUGUACUGACACUGAGACGCGAAAGCCAGGGGAGCAAACGGG